Molecule: ribosomal RNA, 1949 nt
Filed under: human gut metagenome
Description: bacterial LSU rRNA
Rfam family: Bacterial large subunit ribosomal RNA
Source: RNAcentral
GAAAGUAAGCAAGGGCAGACGGUGGAUGCCUUGGCUCUCGGAGGCGACGAAGGACGUGAUAAGCUGCGAAAAGCUCGGGGGAGGCGCAAAUAGCCCUUGAUCCCGGGAUAUCCGAAUGGGGCAACCCGGCAGGCUGAAGGCCUGCCAUCCCGUAAGGGAGGCGAACGUGGGGAACUGAAACAUCUAAGUACCCAUAGGAGGAGAAAAUAAACAAUGAUUCCGUAAGUAGUGGCGAGCGAACACGGAAGAGCCCAAACCCAUGUCGUCUAGGCGACACGGGGGUUGUAGGACCACGACGUGGCAAGAUAGAGUCAAGUGGAACGCCUUGGAAAAGGCGGUCAUAGAGGGUGAAAACCCCGUACACGACUGACGAUUGAAGCCUAGUGGCAUCCUGAGUAGCGCGGGGCACGAGAAAUCUUGCGUGAAACAGCGGGGCCCAUCCCGUAAGGCUAAAUACUCCCGAGAGACCGAUAGCGAACCAGUACCGUGAGGGAAAGGUGAAAAGAACCCCGAGCAGGGGAGUGAAAUAGACCCUGAACCCGUCUGCCUACAAGCGGUCGGAGCAUCGUCAAGAUGUGACGGCGUGCCUUUUGCAUAAUGAACCUACGAGUUACCUUCCCCGGCAAGGUUAAGUACCUAAGGUACGGAGCCGAAGCGAAAGCGAGUCUGAAGAGGGCGGCCAGUCGGGGGGGGUAGACGCGAAACCGAGUGAUCUACCCUUGGCCAGGUUGAAGGUUGGGUAACACCAACUGGAGGACCGGAUGGGUAAGCGUUGAAAAGCUUUCCAAUGAGCUGAGGGUAGGGGUGAAAGGCUAAUCAAACUCGGAGAUAGCUCGUACUCCCCGAAAUGCAUUUAGGUGCAGCCUCUUUAUAGUAUAUCGUGAGGUAGAGCGACUGAUUGGAUGCGAGGGCUUCACCGCCUAUCAAGUCCAGAUAAACUCCGAAUGCGCGAUAUAUAUUUACAGGGAGUGAGGGCGCGGGUGCUAAGGUCCGUGUCCGAGAGGAGAAGAAUCCAGACCACCGGCUAAGGCCCCCAAAUGAUCGUUGAGUUGAACUAACGAGGUCGGAUCGCAGAGACAGCUAGGAUGUUGGCUUGGAAGCAGCCAUUCAUUUAAAGAGUGCGUAACAGCUCACUAGUCGAGCGAUCUGGCGUGGAUAAUAAUCGGGCAUAAACGAUCUGCCGAAGCCGUGGAUGUCGUAAGACAUGGUAGGGGAGCAUUCCAUGCGGCGUCGAAGAUGAGGGAUGACCCUUGUUGGAGCGCAUGGAAAAGCAAAUGUAGGUAUGAGUAACGAUAAGGGGGGCGAGAAACCCCCCCGCCGAAAGACCAAGGUUUCCUGAUCAACGCUAAUCGGAUCAGGGUGAGUCGGGACCUAAGGCAAAGCCGAACGGCGCCGCCGAUGGAAGAAUGGGUUAAUAUUCCCAUACUGCCUCAUGGAGUGACGUGGAGACGGAGAAGUGACAGUCCUGCCGGCUGACGGAAUAGCCGGUUGAAGGGUGUAGAUAUUGAUUCCCGUAGGCAAAUCCGCGGGGAGAGUCGAACCUGACAGUAUACCGAGUACUUGUACGAGGUAAUAUGGACGUAACCAUGCUCCCGAGAAAAUCCGCUAAACUUAUCCAUGCGGCACCCGUACCGUAAACGGACACACGUGGUCGGGUUGAGAAUACUGAGGCGCUCGAGUGACUCACGGUUAAGGAACUAGGCAAAUUGACCCUGUAACUUCGGGAUAAAGGGUCCUCGUCGUAAGGCGAGGCGCAGAGAAUAGGUCCAGGCAACUGUUUAACAAAAACACAUGGCUAUGCUAAAUGGAAACAUGACGUAUAUAGCCUGACACCUGCCCGGUGCUGGAAGGUUAAGAGGAGAUGUCAUCGCAAGAGAAGCGUUGAAUUGAAGCCCCAGUAAACGGCGGCCGUAACUAUAACGGUCCUAAGGUAGCGAAAUUCCUUGUCG